CCUACGGGUGGCUGCAGUGAGGAAUAUUGGUCAAUGGACGAGAGCCUGAACCAGCCAAGUAGCGUGAAGGAUGACUGCCCUAUGGGUUGUAAACUUCUUUUAUCAAGGAAUAAAACGAGGCACGUGUACCUCUUCGCGUGUACUUUGUGAAUAAGGAUCGGCUAACUCCGUGCCAGCAGCCGCGGUAAUACGGAGGAUCCGAGCGUUAUCCGGAUUUCUUGGGUUUAAAGGGUGCGUAGGCGGCCUAUUAAGUCAGCGGUGAAAGUCUGUGGCUCAAACAUAGAAUUGCCGUUGAAACUGGGAGGCUAGAGUGUGUUAGAGGCAGGCGGAAUGCGUGGUGUAGCGGUGAAAUGCUUAGAUAUCACGCAGAACCCCGAUUGCGAAGGCAGCAUGCCAGGCCAUGACUGACGCUGAGGCACGAAAGCGUGGGGAUCAAACAGGAUUAGAUACCCCUGUAGUC
RNAcentral lists this ribosomal RNA (460 nucleotides) under uncultured bacterium. RNAcentral's name for it is "partial 16S ribosomal RNA". It matches the Rfam family "Bacterial small subunit ribosomal RNA", at positions 338 to 795 of the family's 1533-position model. The record is from RNAcentral.